CUUUGGGAUAACCCUCGGAAACGGGGGCUAAUACCGGAUAGGACUCCUGGUUGCAUGACUGGGGGUGGAAAGAUUUUUCGGUCUGGGAUGGGCUCGCAGCCUAUCAGCUUGUUGGUGGGGUGAUGGCCUACCAAGGCGGCGACGGGUAGCCGGCCUGAGAGGGCGACCGGCCACACCGGGACUGAGACACGGCCCAGACUCCUACGGGAGGCAGCAGUGGGGAAUAUUGCACAAUGGGCGGAAGCCUGAUGCAGCGACGCCGCGUGAGGGAUGACGGCCUUCGGGUUGUAAACCUCUUUCGGUAGGGACGAAGCGUGAGUGACGGUACCUACAGAAGAAGCGCCGGCCAACUACGUGCCAGCAGCCGCGGUAAGACGUAGGGCGCGAGCGUUGUCCGGAUUUAUUGGGCGUAAAGAGCUCGUAGGCGGCUUGUUGCGUCGGCUGUGAAAGCCCAUGGCUUAACUGUGGGUUGGCAGCUGAUACGGGCAGGCUGGAGUUCGGUAGGGGAGACUGGAAUUCCUGGUGUAGCGGUGAAGUGCGCAGAUAUCAGGAGGAACACCGGUGGCGAAGGCGGGUCUCUGGGCCGAUACUGACGCUGAGGAGCGAAAGCGUGGGGAGCGAACAGGAUUAGAUACCCUGGCAGUCCACGCUGUAAACGUUGGGCGC
RNAcentral lists this ribosomal RNA (666 nucleotides) under uncultured Micromonosporaceae bacterium. RNAcentral's name for it is "bacterial SSU rRNA". It matches the Rfam family "Bacterial small subunit ribosomal RNA", at positions 136 to 816 of the family's 1533-position model. Lineage: Bacteria; Bacillati; Actinomycetota; Actinomycetes; Micromonosporales; Micromonosporaceae. The record is from RNAcentral.